CCUACGGGGAGCAGCAGUGAGGAAUAUUGGUCAAUGGUCGGGAGACUGAACCAGCCAAGCCGCGUGAGGGAUGAAGGUACAGAGUAUCGUAAACCUCUUUUGUCAGGGAACAAAGGCGGGGACGUGUCCCCGGAUGAGUGUACCUGAAGAAAAAGCAUCGGCUAACUCCGUGCCAGCAGCCGCGGUAAUACGGAGGAUGCGAGCGUUAUCCGGAUUUAUUGGGGUUAAAGGGUGCGCAGGCGGUCUGUUAAGUCAGCGGUGAAAGCCCGGGGCUCAACCCCGGCCCGCCGUUGAAACUGGCAGUCUCGAGUUGGAGAGAAGUAUGCGGAAUGCGCGGUGUAGCGGUGAAAUGCAUAGAUAUCGCGCAGAACUCCGAUUGCGAAGGCAGCAUGCCGGCUCCACACUGACGCUGAGGCACGAAAGCGUGGGUAUCGAACAGGAUUAGAUACCCUAGUAGUC
RNAcentral lists this ribosomal RNA (459 nucleotides) under uncultured bacterium. RNAcentral describes it as "partial 16S ribosomal RNA". It matches the Rfam family "Bacterial small subunit ribosomal RNA", at positions 338 to 795 of the family's 1533-position model. The record is from RNAcentral.